RNAcentral lists this ribosomal RNA (253 nucleotides) under uncultured bacterium. RNAcentral's name for it is "partial 16S ribosomal RNA". It matches the Rfam family "Bacterial small subunit ribosomal RNA", at positions 524 to 776 of the family's 1533-position model. The record is from RNAcentral.
UACGUAGGGUGCAAGCGUUAAUCGGAAUUACUGGGCGUAAAGCGUGCGCAGGCGGUUAUGCAAGACAGAUGUGAAAUCCCUCGGCUCAACCAAGGAAGUGCAUCCGAAACUGCUGUGCUUGAGUACGAAAGAGGAUCGCGGAAUUCCCGGUGUAGAGGUGAAAUCCGUAGAUAUCGGGAGGAACACCAGUGGCGAAGGCGGCGAUCUGGGUCGAUACUGACGCUGAGGUGCGAAAGCGUGGGGAGCAAACAGG